This 253-nucleotide ribosomal RNA is filed under the name uncultured bacterium. RNAcentral describes it as "partial 16S ribosomal RNA". It matches the Rfam family "Bacterial small subunit ribosomal RNA", at positions 524 to 776 of the family's 1533-position model. The record is from RNAcentral.
UACGUAGGGGGCUAGAGUUGUCCGGAUUUACUGGGUGUAAAGGGUGCUCAGGCGGACUUGUAAGUCAGAGGUGAAAUACCGAAGCUCAACUUCGGCACUGCCUUUGAAACUGCAAGCCUUGAGUUUGAGAGAGGGUAAUGGAAUAUCUAGUGUAGCAGUGAAAUGCGUAGAUAUUAGAUAGAACACCAAUGGCGAAGGCAGUUACCUGGCUCAAAACUGACGCUAAAGCACGAAAGUGUGGGGAGCAAACAGG